UUGUACCUACGGGGGGCAGCAGUGGGGGAUAUUGCACAAUGGGGGAAACCCUGAUGCAGCGACGCCGCGUGUGGGAAGACGGUCCUCUGGAUUGUAAACCACUGUCCCCAGGGACGAAAAUGACGGUACCUGAGUAAGAAGCCCCGGCUAACUACGUGCCAGCAGCCGCGGUAAUACGUAGGGGGCAAGCGUUAUCCGGAUUUACUGGGUGUAAAGGGAGCGUAGACGGCCAGACAAGUCUGAAGUGAAAAUCCAGCGCUUAACGUUGGAAGCGCUUUGGAAACUGCCGGGCUAGAGUGCAGGAG
Molecule: ribosomal RNA, 305 nt
Filed under: uncultured bacterium
Lineage: Bacteria
Description: bacterial SSU rRNA
Rfam family: Bacterial small subunit ribosomal RNA
Source: RNAcentral